CCUGAUGCAGCAACGCCGCGUGAGGGAUGACGGCCUAUCGGGUUGUAAACCUCUUUUAGUAGGGAAGAAGCGAAAGUGACGGUACCUGCAGAAAAAGCACCGGCUAACUACGUGCCAGCAGCCGCGGUAAUACGUAGGGUGCAAGCGUUGUCCGGAAUUAUUGGGCGUAAAGAGCUCGUAGGCGGUUUGUCGCGUCUGCUGUGAAAUCCCGAGGCUCAACCUCGGGCUUGCAGUGGGUACGGGCAGACUAGAGUGCGGUAGGGGAGAUUGGAAUUCCUGGUGUAGCGGUGGAAUGCGCAGAUAUCAGGAGGAACACCGAUGGCGAAGGCAGAUCUCUGGGCCGUAACUGACGCUGAGGAGCGAAAGCAUGGGGAGCGAACAGGAUUAGAUACCCUGGUAGUCCAUGCCGUAAACGUUGGGCGCUAGAUGUAGGGACCUUUCCACGGUUUCUGUGUCGUAGCUAACGCAUUAAGCGCCCCGCCUGGGGAGUACGGCCGCAAGGCUAAAACUCAAAGGAAUUGACGGGGGCCCGCACAAGCGGCGGAGCAUGCGGAUUAAUUCGAUGCAACGCGAAGAACCUUACCAAGGCUUGACAUACACCGGAAACGGCCAGAGAUGGUCGCCCCCUUGUG
RNAcentral lists this ribosomal RNA (632 nucleotides) under Curtobacterium sp. Ri2Pt_3948. Its description in RNAcentral is "bacterial SSU rRNA". It matches the Rfam family "Bacterial small subunit ribosomal RNA", at positions 382 to 1022 of the family's 1533-position model. Lineage: Bacteria; Bacillati; Actinomycetota; Actinomycetes; Micrococcales; Microbacteriaceae. The record is from RNAcentral.